GUCCACGCCCUAAACGAUGUCAACUAGUUGUUGGGGAGGGAGACCUCCUUAGUAACGCAGCUAACGCGUGAAGUUGACCGCCUGGGGAGUACGGUCGCAAGAUUAAAACUCAAAGGAAUUGACGGGGCCCGCACAAGCGGUGGAUUAUGUGGAUUAAUUCGAUGCAACGCGAAAACCUUACCUACCCUUGACAUGCUAAGAACUUGCCAGAGAUGGCUUGGUGCUUGAAAGAGAACUUAGACACAGGUGCUGCAUGGCUGUCGU
RNAcentral lists this ribosomal RNA (264 nucleotides) under uncultured bacterium. Its description in RNAcentral is "partial 16S ribosomal RNA". It matches the Rfam family "Bacterial small subunit ribosomal RNA", at positions 793 to 1055 of the family's 1533-position model. The record is from RNAcentral.